Molecule: ribosomal RNA, 808 nt
Filed under: Nocardioides sp.
Lineage: Bacteria; Bacillati; Actinomycetota; Actinomycetes; Propionibacteriales; Nocardioidaceae
Description: bacterial SSU rRNA
Rfam family: Bacterial small subunit ribosomal RNA
Source: RNAcentral
GGGGUACCGAGCGGCGACGGGUGAGUAACACGUGAGUAAUCUGCCCUCCACUUUGGGAUAAGCCUCGGAAACGGGGUCUAAUACCGGAUACGACCAAUCUCUGCAUGGGGUGUUGGUGGAAAGUUUUUUCGGUGGGGGAUGUGCUCGCGGCCUAUCAGCUUGUUGGUGAGGUAAUGGCUCACCAAGGCUUCGACGGGUAGCCGGCCUGAGAGGGUGACCGGCCACACUGGGACUGAGACACGGCCCAGACUCCUACGGGAGGCAGCAGUGGGGAAUAUUGGACAAUGGGCGGAAGCCUGAUCCAGCAACGCCGCGUGAGGGAUGACUGCCUUCGGGUUGUAAACCUCUUUCAGCGGGGACGAAGCGCAAGUGACGGUACCCGCAGAAGAAGCACCGGCCAACUACGUGCCAGCAGCCGCGGUAAUACGUAGGGUGCGAGCGUUGUCCGGAAUUAUUGGGCGUAAAGGGCUCGUAGGCGGUUUGUCGCGUCGGGAGUGAAAACACCGGGCUUAACUCGGUGCUUGCUUUCGAUACGGGCAGACUAGAGGUAUUCAGGGGAGAACGGAAUUCCUGGUGUAGCGGUGAAAUGCGCAGAUAUCAGGAGGAACACCGGUGGCGAAAGCGGUUCUCUGGGAAUAUCCUGACGCUGAGGAGCGAAAGUGUGGGGAGCGAACAGGAUUAGAUACCCUGGUAGUCCACACCGUAAACGUUGGGCGCUAGGUGUGGGGUCCAUUUCCACGGAUUUCCGUGCCGCAGCUAACGCAUUAAGCGCCUCGCCUGGGGGAGUACGGCCGCAAGGCUAAAACUC